GUACGGCAGCACGGGUAGCAAUACCUGGUGGCGAGUGGCGCACGGGUGCGUAACACGUAUGCAAUCUUCCUUUAACUGGGGAAUAACUCGCUGAAAGGCGAGCUAAUACCGCAUAACACUUCGAGGUGGCAUCACAAUGAAGUUAAACCUCCGGGGGUUAAAGAUGAGCAUGCGUCCGAUUAGAUAGUUGGCGGGGUAACGGCCCACCAAGUCUACGAUCGGUAGGGGGUCUGAGAGGACUAUCCCCCACACUGGUACUGAGACACGGACCAGACUCCUACGGGAGGCAGCAGUAAGGAAUAUUGGACAAUGGUCGCAAGACUGAUCCAGCCAUGCCGCGUGCAGGAUGAAGGCGCUCAGCGUUGUAAACUGCUUUUGUUCGGGAAAAAACCCCCUGGUUUCCACCNGGGGCUGAUUGUACCGAGAGAAUAAGGGACGGCUAACUUCGUG
This 450-nucleotide ribosomal RNA is filed under the name uncultured bacterium. RNAcentral's name for it is "bacterial SSU rRNA". It matches the Rfam family "Bacterial small subunit ribosomal RNA", at positions 64 to 507 of the family's 1533-position model. The record is from RNAcentral.